UAAGCUGGCGGCGUGCUUAUCAUAUAACAAGUCAGAACGAGGUCCAUACGAUCUUCGGAUUGGUGAAGACUAGCACGGGUGCGUAACACGUGAGAAACCUGCCCCGGUCUCUGGGAUAACAGUUGGAAACGACUGAUAAUACCGGAUGCCGUCGGACCGUCGCAUGGCGGACCGACGAAAGGGUUACCGGAUCGGGAGGGUCUCGCGGCCUAUCAGCUUGUUAGUGAGGUAACGGCUCACCAAGGCAUCGACGGGUAGCUGGUCUGAGAGGAUGACAGCACACAGGAUGAGACACGGCCAACCCUAGGGAGGCGCAAGAGGAAUACUAGCACCAUGGGCGAACAAACAGA
Molecule: ribosomal RNA, 350 nt
Filed under: uncultured bacterium
Lineage: Bacteria
Description: bacterial SSU rRNA
Rfam family: Bacterial small subunit ribosomal RNA
Source: RNAcentral